AAUCAACGCUGGCGGCGUGCCUAACACAUGCAAGUCGAACGCGAAAGUUCCUUCGGGAAUGAGUAGAGUGGCGUCCGGGUGAGUAACGCGUGGGUAAUCUACCCUUGGUGGGGAAUAACCAGUCGAAAGGCUGGCUAAUACCGCAUAAUGCAGCGGCUCGACAUCGAGACAGUUGUUAAAGCGCAACCGCAAGAUUGCGCGCCUAAGGAGGAGCCUGCGUCUGAUAGCUUGUUGGUGAGGUAAUGGCUCACCAAGGCUGCGAUCAGUAGCUGG
RNAcentral lists this ribosomal RNA (273 nucleotides) under uncultured bacterium. RNAcentral describes it as "partial 16S ribosomal RNA". It matches the Rfam family "Bacterial small subunit ribosomal RNA", at positions 32 to 290 of the family's 1533-position model. The record is from RNAcentral.